CGUGGAGCGGCUCUCGCGAACCCGCCGCCGCCGCGACACGGAAUUUUCAGGCGACGCCGCUCGCCGCCGGAGAAGGGGUCGGCGCCGGCGGCGAGAGGGGAAGGCAAAGAUGAGGAGCAGCGAGGCCAUGGAGCUCCUCGGCCUCCCGGCCCACUCCCGCCCGUCUCCUUCCGAGGUUAAGGCUGCGUAUAGGAGGAUGGUGAUGGAAUCCCAUCCUGAUCGUGUCCCGACGCAUCAGAAGUCUCAAGCCGAGUCUAAAUUCAAGCAGGUCAGAUCUCGGAAGCAUAUUCUUGUUUGAAGGAUGGAAGAAGAUAUGGAAGUAGGAUGGAAGUCCAUGUAAUGAGGUCUGGUGUUCCAACGGGAUAUGGACGAUCAAAUAAAACAUUGGUCAAAGCCCCUUUUCUACUCAUAAUUUUUGCAGCGGUUUCUUUGGGUGGAUUCAGCGCUUCAAGAGCAUACCAGCGGCAGAAAGCAGUCUGUUCCUCUCAGAACCCAUUUCUUCCAUAGAGCAAGAUGGUUGUAGAAUUUCCCUAUUCACAAGGGAGCAGAGUUCUGUGUACAUUGUAAAACAAUCAUGCUGUGAACAAAAGCGCUGAUUGGUCUUUUCUGUGUACAUUGUAAAAACAAUCAAAGUAUCGAACUGUGAAUAAAAGCAUCAAUCAAUCUUUGUGAUUGCA
Molecule: RNA transcript, 677 nt
Organism: Oryza brachyantha (malo sina)
Lineage: Eukaryota; Viridiplantae; Streptophyta; Magnoliopsida; Poales; Poaceae
Gene name: chaperone protein DnaJ
Exons: 6
Source: RefSeq, a predicted model, not a curated record